RNAcentral lists this transfer RNA (66 nucleotides) under uncultured Ruminococcus sp. It matches the Rfam family "tRNA". Rfam says of the family: Transfer RNA (tRNA) molecules are approximately 80 nucleotides in length. Their secondary structure includes four short double-helical elements and three loops (D, anti-codon, and T loops). Lineage: Bacteria; Bacillati; Bacillota; Clostridia; Eubacteriales; Oscillospiraceae. RNAcentral also lists the same sequence under 2 other names. The record is from RNAcentral.
CAGAUAGCUCAGUUGGUAGAGCAGAGGACUGAAAAUCCUCGUGUCGCUGGUUCGAUUCCGGCUCUG